CCUGACUGCUAUCGGAUUGAUACUAAGCCAUGCGAGUCUUUGUAGUAAUACAAGGCAGACGGCUCAGUAACACGUAGUCAACCUACCCUAUGGACAAGAAUAAUCUCGGGAAACUGGGCAUAAUUCUUGAUAGAUCAUAAUGCCUGGAAUGGUUUAUGGUUAAAAUGAUUCGUCGCCAUAGGAUGGGACUGCGGCCUAUCAGCUUGUUGGUGAGGUAAUGGCCCACCAAGGCGAUUACAGGUACGGGCUCUGAGAGGAGAAGCCCGGAGAUGGGUACUGAGACACGGACCCAGGCCCUAUGGGGCGCAGCAGGCGAGAAAACUUUGCAAUGUGCGAAAGCACGACAAGGUUAAUCCGAGUGAUUUCUGCUAAAGAAAUCUUUUGCCAGUCAUAAAACCACUGGUGAAUAAGGGGUGGGCAAGUUCUGGUGUCAGCCGCCGCGGUAAAACCAGCACCUCAAGUGGUCAGGAUGAUUAUUGGGCCUAAAGCAUCCGUAGCCGGCUUUGUUAGUUUUCGGUUAAAUCCAUGUGCUCAACGCAUGGGCUGCCGAAAAUACUGCAUAGCUAGGGAGUGGGAGAGGUAGACGGUACUCAGUAGGAAGGGGUAAAAUCCUUUGAUCUAUUGAUGACCACCUGUGGCGAAGGCGGUCUACCAGAACACGUUCGACGGUGAGGGAUGAAAGCUGGGGGAGCAAACCGGAUUAGAUACCCGGGUAGUCCCAGCUGUAAACGAUGCAGACUCGAUGAUGCAUUGGCAUAAUAGCCAGUGCAGUGUCGCAGGGAAGCCGUUAAGUCUGCCGCCUGGGAAGUACGUACGCAAGUAUGAAACUUAAAGGAAUUGGCGGGGGAGCACCACCAAGGGGUGAAGCCUGCGGUUC
This 877-nucleotide ribosomal RNA is filed under the name uncultured archaeon. Its description in RNAcentral is "bacterial SSU rRNA". It matches the Rfam family "Archaeal small subunit ribosomal RNA", at positions 21 to 903 of the family's 1478-position model. The record is from RNAcentral.